AGUGAACGCUGGCGGCAGGCCUAACACAUGCAAGUCGAGCGGCAGCACGGGUAGCAAUACUUGGUGGCGAGCGGCGGACGGGUGAGGAAUACAUCGGAAUCUGCCUUGUCGUGGGGGAUAACGUAGGGAAACUUACGCUAAUACCGCAUACGACCGAGAGGUGAAAGCGGGGGAUCGCAAGACCUCGCGCGACAAGAUGAGCCGAUGUCGGAUUAGCUAGUUGGCGGGGUAAGAGCCCACCAAGGCGACGAUCCGUAGCUGGUCUGAGAGGAUGAUC
RNAcentral lists this ribosomal RNA (277 nucleotides) under uncultured bacterium. Its description in RNAcentral is "partial 16S ribosomal RNA". It matches the Rfam family "Bacterial small subunit ribosomal RNA", at positions 29 to 305 of the family's 1533-position model. The record is from RNAcentral.